CCCUUAGAUGUUCUGGGCUGCACGCGCGCUACACUGAAGCUAUCAACACGUUUUCCCUCCCUGAGAAGGGCGGGUAACCUUUUGAAUCAGCUUCGUGGUAGGGAUCGGGGCUUGCAAUUGUUCCCCGUGAACCAGGAAUUCCUAGUAGACGCGAGUCAUAAGCUCGCAUCGAUUAAGUCCCUGCCCUUUGUACACACCGCCCGUCGCUACUACCGAUUGAGUGAUCCGGUGAAUAAUUCGGACUGCAGCACUGCUUGGUCUCCAGGCUUUGCAGCGGAAAGUUUAGUGAACCUUAUCACUUAGAGGAAGGAGAAGUCGUAACA
Molecule: ribosomal RNA, 323 nt
Filed under: uncultured eukaryote
Lineage: Eukaryota
Description: partial 18S ribosomal RNA
Rfam family: Eukaryotic small subunit ribosomal RNA
Source: RNAcentral